Molecule: ribosomal RNA, 239 nt
Filed under: uncultured bacterium
Lineage: Bacteria
Description: partial 16S ribosomal RNA
Rfam family: Bacterial small subunit ribosomal RNA
Source: RNAcentral
CCGGCGCACGGGUUGGUAACACGUAUCCAACCUGCCGUCUACUCUUGGACAGCCUUCUGAAAGGAAGAUUAAUACAAGAUGGCAUCAUGAGUCCGCAUGUUCACAUGAUUAAAGGUAUUCCGGUAGACGAUGGGGAUGCGUUCCAUUAGAUAGUAGGCGGGGUAACGGCCCACCUAGUCUUCGAUGGAUAGGGGUUCUGAGAGGAAGGUCCCCCACAUUGGAACUGAGACACGGUCCAA